Long non-coding RNA from Ipomoea triloba (trilobed morning glory), 499 nucleotides. RefSeq lists it as uncharacterized. Lineage: Eukaryota; Viridiplantae; Streptophyta; Magnoliopsida; Solanales; Convolvulaceae. The transcript is spliced from 3 exons. The record is from RefSeq and is a predicted model, not a curated record.
AGUACUGUCCCACCAUCUCCUAUGCAGAUCUGUUAAUAUGAAAGUCAGGCCUUCAAAAGGACUUAAACUAUUAUCACCAAUUUUAAAAUUGCUAAUAAGAAACAUCCUAACUAAUGCAGUUCACAAAUUGAAACUCUGUGAUUUUGGGCUUCCUCAGCUGUCAUUUGUUGAUGCCCCAUCUGCUGUUUUCUGGACUCAUGCAGAUUAUCUGGAAGGUUAAUAAAAAUUAAAUACAUGAAAGACAAAGCAUUGCAAAUCACAUGUAGAAGAUAUUUACUACUCUUAGUUAAAUAGCUACAUAGGUAAUUUGCCCUGUACAUUGAUCUACUAUUAACUGCUUUCUUUUGCACCCUAUGGUCAUUGAUCCCUUUAACUGCUUCAUACCUGUUUGCUGUGAUUUGAAAUGGGCUGUUUGACUCUCUGCCAGAGAUUCAUUUUGCAUUAGCUGUCUUUCUCAUCCUGCUAAUCAAUUAAUUUAUCAGUGUAGCAAAUGAUGAUU